Molecule: long non-coding RNA, 475 nt
Organism: Coturnix japonica (Japanese quail)
Lineage: Eukaryota; Metazoa; Chordata; Aves; Galliformes; Phasianidae
Source: Ensembl
GAGUGAUAGUAGUUGAUUUAGGUAACCCGAAGAUAAGCAACAGCACAUAUUUCAUUUCUCUUCUAGGUAAGCAGUAGGUUGAAAUACACAUAAAGGAAACACUAAAUAAUCUUGAAUAAUCUUGUUUAAGAAAAUAGAGGAAAUAUGCAGAAAAAGAAAGGAUUCUGUUUGUAAAUCUCCCAGUUCUGACAGAGUUAAGGGGUUCUCGGUUGCCAGGCUCUCUUCAGGUUUUCACCAGCUCUGCUGGAAGGUGAAAUACAUCUGUACCUUCAAAGGGGUUUUGCGGCAGACCCUGCAGCUCCAGGAAUUUUGGUAUUGUUAUACUAGACAAGCAGCACAGUUACAAUCCAGCAGCAGAAGUUUUAAUGGAAGAUUUAAGAACUUCCCAGUAAGUGCAUGCGGGGUAGGUGUCUCUCAUUGUCAUGUCUCCUCCUGAUGCAAUAAAGAUUAGUUUAUGCAUUAAAUGGUUCUAGCU